AAAAAUAAAAGAUUUCAAAUAAUAAAAAACGUUUAUUUAAAAAAAAUCACACUGCAAAAAAAUAAACUAUUGCCAUUUUAUGCAGUUACCACCAGAUUAAUUCAUUGUAUGCUCAUUCAUUUUGCUUUCGGUUUUGUUCCAUUUUUGCGGAUCUAAAAUCUUUGCUUUUGAGUUGAAAAGUUUUGCGAGUUGAAAACUGCAGCUCAGUGGGCGGGAUCUUAUGAAACACCUUAUUCUAUUGGUCAUCUUGAUUGAGGUCACAGGUUGGCCACGCCCAUUACAUUUUCGCGCGGUUGGAAUUGCCUUCCUGACAGGAGCGAGCUAAUGGCUAGCAACAGGUCUUCUUUAAGUUUAUUCUUACAGGUUGAUCACUCAGUCUUAUGGGGCGUAAAACAUCUGCUUUGACUCCUCGGAUGUCCAAAUCUGCACUGACUCCACAGACGUUUACAUCUGCACUGUCUUAAAUCAACGAAUCAAUAUCUACAAUCUACAAUGAUUCCACUGGCGUCCACAUCUGCAUUAUCUCCUUAGACAUCAACAUUUGGACUGACUGACCACAGACAUUUAUUAUUCACUAAACUUAUCAAUCACCACCUGUGCUGUGUUUAAUUUUUUUCUGGAAUUGUGUAGGAUUUGGAAAAUAGUAGAUUUUGACUUUUUAUAAAUGAUUAUAAAUAUGAUUUUUUUAUACAUUUAUUGUUUCCCUUUCUGGAAUAAAGGAAUAUAAACAGCU
Molecule: non-coding RNA, 733 nt
Organism: Danio rerio (zebrafish)
Lineage: Eukaryota; Metazoa; Chordata; Actinopteri; Cypriniformes; Danionidae
Source: RefSeq, a predicted model, not a curated record